Molecule: long non-coding RNA, 219 nt
Filed under: Brassica rapa (field mustard)
Lineage: Eukaryota; Viridiplantae; Streptophyta; Magnoliopsida; Brassicales; Brassicaceae
Description: long non-coding RNA (BRAP_LNC004914)
Source: RNAcentral
UCAAAACGAAACGUAGGUGAACGUGUAGAUGAACGUGAAGAUUAACAGAGCAGAUCGGAGAUCGGAGUGGAGAUGAACGUGUAAAUGAACGUGGAGUGAAAGACGGAAACUGUGAUCCACACGUCAAUGAACGUGGAGAGAUCCAGGCGUUAGCCAAGUUUCAAAGGAAACCUCAGCCGGAGAUCGUUGCGUGGGAGAGACGUCAGGAAGAGAUCGUUG